This 253-nucleotide ribosomal RNA is filed under the name uncultured bacterium. Its description in RNAcentral is "partial 16S ribosomal RNA". It matches the Rfam family "Bacterial small subunit ribosomal RNA", at positions 524 to 776 of the family's 1533-position model. The record is from RNAcentral.
AACGUAGGUGGCAAGCGUUAUCCGGAUUUACUGGGCGUAAAGCGUGUGCAGGCGGUCAUGUAAGUGGUGUAUGAAAUCUCCGCGCUUAACGUGGAGGGGUUAUGCCAGACUGCAUGACUAGAACCCAUCAGAGGGAAGUGGAAUUCCGGGUGUAGUGGUGAAAUGCGUAGAGAUCCGGAGGAACACCAGAGGCGAAAGCGACUUCCUGGACCAAUACUGACGCUCAUGUGCGAAAGCGUGGGGAGCAAACAGG